RNAcentral lists this ribosomal RNA (253 nucleotides) under uncultured bacterium. RNAcentral describes it as "partial 16S ribosomal RNA". It matches the Rfam family "Bacterial small subunit ribosomal RNA", at positions 524 to 776 of the family's 1533-position model. The record is from RNAcentral.
UACGAAGGGGGCUAGCGUUGUUCGGAAUUACUGGGCGUAAAGCGCACGUAGGCGGAUUUGUAAGUCAGGGGUGAAAUCCCGGGGCUCAACCUCGGAACUGCCUUUGAUACUGCAAGUCUCGAGUCCGGAAGAGGUGAGUGGAAUUCCGAGUGUAGAGGUGAAAUUCGUAGAUAUUAGGAAGAACACCAGUGGCGAAGGCGGCUCACUGGUCCGGUACUGACGAUGAGGUGCGAAAGAGUGGGGAGCAAACAGG